Molecule: long non-coding RNA, 1412 nt
Filed under: Fukomys damarensis (Damara mole-rat)
Lineage: Eukaryota; Metazoa; Chordata; Mammalia; Rodentia; Bathyergidae
Description: lncRNA (ENSFDAG00000029795.1)
Source: RNAcentral
AUGGCUGCUCCCCAGCACUGCUUCCCGGCACCACGACCUGAGCGGCUCUGCUCUGCCACCCGACCACGCACUGAAUCCACGGAAACCAUGAGCCAAAUAAACCUCGCCUCCUGCAGUUGUGGGCACUGGGUACUGUGUCUCAGAAAUGGGGAAGUGAUUCAGAAGGAGAGAAGGAGAGAGGCAGAAGGAAGAAAGCCAAACAUCUUCAACUGCAUGAACUUAGCCCAGCCAGCAUGGGCCUCUGAGCACAGAUGGUCCACACCCAAGCCCGGCUCCAGCCAGCAGCUCUGCUUCCAGCAGGCCACCCUGACGGCACUCCCCGCCUGCCACGACGCGCAGGACGGCACAGGGGCCAGGGAUGCUACUUCCCACGGCUCGAAAUGCCUCAGAUCGGCAGUGUCUAAACUCUUGGUUCCAUCCUGGAUGGGGCAGCGGGGUUCCUUGGCAGCAAGACUGGGGGUCCCGUCCUGUCCUGACCCCACCAGCCACGGCACCUGGAGGACCAGAGGCUCACACAGCCAAGCUUUGAAGUCUACAUUUCCAAAAGGCAGACCGGCCGUCUUGGGAACCUUGCAUCUAUUCCUCCUUGGAAGCCCAACAGGUCUGCCAUCGGUAAAUCCUGCCGCCUCUAACUUUAAGUGGAUUUGGACUCGAAGGCUGCCACCUACGCAAGUCACUCCAGUCCCGCCACCUCUCACCUGGACCACUUGUGAACCCUGGACUCCUCAACAGCUCUCCCUGCUUCUGUCGUGGUCUUAGGAUGAUCCCUCCAAAAGCAAUGUUUGACUACAUCACGUCUCUGCUGAAAACCCCAAAAGCCCUUCAAGGACCAGCCAGAGUUCUCAGUAUGCAGUUCUUGUGCUCCUCCCCUGUGUCCUCUGCUCAAGCUGUCUGCUUUCUGCCUGUCUCUGCUCCCACCUGCCAGCGGACCGUUGCACAUGCUGGUCUUGCUGCCUGGCACAUACCCAAUACCCACCUGGCUUUCUCCCAUACCUUCUCCAAAACCUUAUUCAUUGACCAUUGAGUCACCAGGGCCUUUGUGACCACAUGCAUUCAUGCCCAUCCCAACCCUUUACAAUCCAUAUAACAUAACAUAACUUCUAUCUCACACAAGUAUUUCUUCCAUAUCACCACACUUACUACACUUGCUGCUUAAUUUCUGCAUCCUCCCCUGGAAUGUGCACUCCCAGAGAACAAGUCUUUGUCUGUUUUAACUCAAAUAUCCCCAGGGCCUAGAACAUGUGCUCCACAGUAACUGCCCAAUGUGUACAUGAAAAUGAAAGAAAAUAAACAAGUUGCAACCCACUCUGGGGCUCUGCUUAUUUCCCCUCAUCCAGAAGGUAAGAGACUCUGCCCUUUCACCAUGUCUCCCACCCCUGGAGACAGCCUACCCUACCUGAAGCCAGCUGCUC